UUACUUUUUACAAUCUGAGUAAAAUGCAGCAACAUAUUCUUAAAAUAUUAAUAGCAAUUGUGAUUUUUAUACUAAAAAUAAUUAUAAAUAAUAGCUCAAAACCUCCUCCACCACCGUGGUUUAUGCAUGGCGAAUAUCUUUAUUAUAUCAAUACCGAGCAACAAUUCACCUCCAAUUAUACACAAAAAGAGUGCAUAAAGCAAAAAAUGGUGUAUUCUAUAACCCAAACAAAUGCAGUAGAAUUGUUGCCACAUUUAAAGCUUGUGUAUGGUGAUUUCCCUGCCUUGUGGACCUAUAACAAUGAAAUUUUUAAUAAAAUCCUAAAUACUCACAUUAAAAUGCGCUCAUGUUUUCAAUUGAGCGCCACAUCUGACAAAUACCAACCGCAUAAUUGUUCUGAAAAAUCAGGUUUUAUUUGCAAAAUCCGAAUGAAAUCUGCCACUUUAUUAUAUGAAAAUUCGGCUGUACGAGUUUUUAAAAAUGAUAUAGAACAAUUCUGUGAUCCAAAUGCAAAUAUUUCUAAUGUUUUGUAUUCUUGUA
Molecule: long non-coding RNA, 540 nt
Organism: Calliphora vicina (urban bluebottle blowfly)
Lineage: Eukaryota; Metazoa; Arthropoda; Insecta; Diptera; Calliphoridae
Exons: 3
Source: RefSeq, a predicted model, not a curated record